RNAcentral lists this non-coding RNA (23 nucleotides) under Cricetulus griseus (Chinese hamster). The record is from RNAcentral. Lineage: Eukaryota; Metazoa; Chordata; Mammalia; Rodentia; Cricetidae.
CCACCGUAAUUGUAACUGAGGCA